UAAACCAGGAUUAGAUACCCUAUUAUUCUUUAGUAAAAUUCUCUUAAGGUAGUAGUUGUUAAGAUCUUGAAACCUAAAGGAUAUGGCGGUAUUUAAUAAAAUCAGAGGAACCUGUCCUAUAAGCGAUACCCCACGAUAAAUCUUACCUUUUUUGGUUUGUAUACCGUUGUCUAGAUUUCUUUAAAAGAAGAAGUUUAAAUCAGCUAUUAAUAGGUCAGAUCCAGGCGCAGCUUAAAAAGGCAGAGAUGGGUUACAAUUUACCAAAAUUGGGGGUGAAUUUUAAUUUUUUACCUAAAUAGGAUUUGAAAGUAAUUUGAGUUAAUAAG
This 326-nucleotide ribosomal RNA is filed under the name Armadillidium lobocurvum. RNAcentral's name for it is "partial 12S ribosomal RNA". Lineage: Eukaryota; Metazoa; Arthropoda; Malacostraca; Isopoda; Armadillidiidae. The record is from RNAcentral.